This is a long non-coding RNA of Felis catus (domestic cat), 1272 nucleotides long. RefSeq lists it as uncharacterized. Lineage: Eukaryota; Metazoa; Chordata; Mammalia; Carnivora; Felidae. The transcript is spliced from 3 exons. The record is from RefSeq and is a predicted model, not a curated record.
CCAAGGAACGUCUCCUUCCCUUCUGCUCCCUCGAGACUUCCCUUAGAUCCCAAAUGUUACACUUACCGGCAUCCUCCUGGAGUUCUGGGGUCCUGAGGAACAAAGACCAUCCCCGUGUCACAACUGCAUGCCUGGCGCCCAGCCCAGAGCCUGGUAUGGAUUCAGGGCCUCAGUUUCCUCAUCUGGAACAUGGGAGUGAUCACGGCACCUACCUCAUCAUGCUGUUGUGAAGUUCAGUAGCUGUACUCAGAGCCACGUCUGGUACAAGGGCAUAUCCAGCCCCACCCCCUUUCUGCCCAGAAGUCAGUGCCCGCCCCGCCGCAGGUCCCAGAGCCCCGAUGGGGACCUGGAGCUUGGAAGAUAAAGGGACCGGGACAUCGUCCACCUGUGUAGAAGACUGGUCAUUUGGAGAGAGUUCGCCCAGCCCAGCGCCAGACAGGGAGCCCCAGGAGCCCUCCUGCCACCUUGCCCUCUGCGGAGACAGCCCUCCAGCCCCUCAGGCCUGGGCCCUGAGCUCUCAACAGGCCCCACAACUCGUCCUCCUGGACUUCAAGCCUCCAAGGAGGCACCUCCUUUCUGCAGCUGCAGCAGGUCAAGAGCCUCAUCCGAGGAGGAAGUGAAAGCCCUGCGUGGGUGAGUCAUCGAGGGGCCUGGCCUGGAGGGGCCUGCCGGGAGUGGCACGGGGCGGGGAGAAGAGCCUGGCAGGAAGGGGUGCCACCACGAGGAGGGAGAGCUAGGAGGCCACCGAACGUGAAGGACGUGAAAUCACCUGCAGACCCUGGUGGUCUUCAGCGGGAGAGGACGUGCAGAGAUACCAUCCACAGUCGUGUCUCUGAGGGCUGGCGUGGGGCAGAGCAGCCAGACAGCGAGGUCACAGAGGUGACCUAGGCAGUCACCUAGCAGUGAGGGUGGCCACUGGCAGGCGGGGAGGUGGGCAGGCCGUGGGCUCUGGAUCUCAACCUCCUGACUCGGGGCCCCGGUCCUGCCUCUCACUAGCUUCGUGACCGCAGGCACAUGGCUUCCUCUCUCCUUUGCCCUGCUUCCUCUUCCGUCAAGUGGUGAGGGUCCCUAACCUGGACAUGAGCCUCUGAAAGGCACCUGGAAGCGUCCCUGGUCCAAGGAAACCGCAACAAACAGCGACUACUGUACCAGGCAGGGUCUCUGCAGGAAAACCAAAACACUCGGUUUCUAAAUUAUUUUCAACAUUUACUUACUUUUGAGAGACAGAGCGUGAGCAGGGGAGGGGCAGGGAGAGAGGGAGACACAGAAUCC